Molecule: ribosomal RNA, 385 nt
Filed under: uncultured soil bacterium
Lineage: Bacteria
Description: bacterial SSU rRNA
Rfam family: Bacterial small subunit ribosomal RNA
Source: RNAcentral
AGAGUGAACGCUGGCGGCAGGCCUAACACAUGCAAGUCGAACGGCAGCACAGGAGAGCUUGCUCUCUGGGUGGCGAGGUGGCGGACGGGUGAGGAAUACGUCGGAAUCUGCCUAGUUUGUGGGGGAUAACGUAGGGAAACUUACGCUAAUACCGCAUACGACCUACGGGUGAAAGCGGAGGACCUUCGGGCUUCGCGCAGAUAGAUGAGCCGACGUCGGAUUAGCUAGUUGGCGGGUAAAGGCCCACAAGGCGACGAUCCGUAGCUGGCUGAGAGGAUGAUCAGCCACACUGGAACUGAGACACGGUCCAGACUCCGUACGGGAGGCAGCGAGUGGGGAAUAUUGGACAAUGGGCGCAAGCCUGAUCCAGCCAUGCGCCCCGUGU